Molecule: ribosomal RNA, 1221 nt
Filed under: Flavobacterium sp.
Lineage: Bacteria; Pseudomonadati; Bacteroidota; Flavobacteriia; Flavobacteriales; Flavobacteriaceae
Description: bacterial SSU rRNA
Rfam family: Bacterial small subunit ribosomal RNA
Source: RNAcentral
GAGACCGGCGCACGGGUGCGUAACGCGUAUGCAAUCUACCUUUCACAGAGGGAUAGCCCAGAGAAAUUUGGAUUAAUACCUCAUAGUAUUAUAGAGUGGCAUCACUUUAUAAUUAAAGUCACAACGGUGAAAGAUGAGCAUGCGUCCCAUUAGCUAGUUGGUAAGGUAACGGCUUACCAAGGCAACGAUGGGUAGGGGUCCUGAGAGGGAGAUCCCCCACACUGGUACUGAGACACGGACCAGACUCCUACGGGAGGCAGCAGUGAGGAAUAUUGGACAAUGGGCGCAAGCCUGAUCCAGCCAUGCCGCGUGCAGGAUGACGGUCCUAUGGAUUGUAAACUGCUUUUGUACAGGAAGAAACAGUUCUACGUGUAGAACCUUGACGGUACUGUAAGAAUAAGGAUCGGCUAACUCCGUGCCAGCAGCCGCGGUAAUACGGAGGAUCCAAGCGUUAUCCGGAAUCAUUGGGUUUAAAGGGUCCGUAGGCGGUUUAGUAAGUCAGUGGUGAAAGCCCAUCGCUCAACGGUGGAACGGCCAUUGAUACUGCUAAACUUGAAUUAUUAGGAAGUAACUAGAAUAUGUAGUGUAGCGGUGAAAUGCUUAGAGAUUACAUGGAAUACCAAUUGCGAAGGCAGGUUACUACUAAUGGAUUGACGCUGAUGGACGAAAGCGUGGGUAGCGAACAGGAUUAGAUACCCUGGUAGUCCACGCCGUAAACGAUGGAUACUAGCUGUUGGAAGCAAUUUCAGUGGCUAAGCGAAAGUGAUAAGUAUCCCACCUGGGGAGUACGUUCGCAAGAAUGAAACUCAAAGGAAUUGACGGGGGCCCGCACAAGCGGUGGAGCAUGUGGUUUAAUUCGAUGAUACGCGAGGAACCUUACCAAGGCUUAAAUGUAGAUUGACCGGUUUGGAAACAGACUUUUCGCAAGACAAUUUACAAGGUGCUGCAUGGUUGUCGUCAGCUCGUGCCGUGAGGUGUCAGGUUAAGUCCUAUAACGAGCGCAACCCCUGUUGUUAGUUGCCAGCGAGUCAUGUCGGGAACUCUAACGAGACUGCCAGUGCAAACUGAGAGGAAGGUGGGGAUGACGUCAAAUCAUCACGGCCCUUACGCCUUGGGCUACACACGUGCUACAAUGGCCGGUACAGAGAGCAGCCACUGGGUGACCAGGAGCGAAUCUACAAAACCGGUCACAGUUCGGAUCGGAGUCUGCAACUCGACUCC